This 485-nucleotide ribosomal RNA is filed under the name uncultured bacterium. RNAcentral's name for it is "bacterial SSU rRNA". It matches the Rfam family "Bacterial small subunit ribosomal RNA", at positions 62 to 543 of the family's 1533-position model. The record is from RNAcentral.
UCGAGCGGCAGCGCGGGGCAACCUGGCGGCGAGCGGCGAACGGGUGAGUAAUGCAUCGGAACAUGUCCAUGUCGUGGGGGAUAGCCCGGCGAAAGCCGGAUUAAUACCGCAUACGCCCGAGAGGGGAAAGCCGGGGACCGCAAGGCCUGGCGCGAUUGGGUUGGCCGAUGUCCGAUUAGCUAGUUGGCGGGGUAAGAGCCCACCAAGGCGAUGAUCGGUAGCUGGUCUGAGAGGAUGAUCAGCCACACUGGGACUGAGACACGGCCCAGACUCCUACGGGAGGCAGCAGUGGGGAAUUUUGGACAAUGGGGGAAACCCUGAUCCAGCCAUUCCGCGUGAGUGAAGAAGGCCUUCGGGUUGUAAAGCUCUUUUGUCCGGAACGAAACGGUGAGCGUGAAUAUCGCUCGCUACUGACGGUACCGGAAGAAUAAGCACCGGCUAACUACGUGCCAGCAGCCGCGGUAAUACGUAGGGUGCGAGCGUUA